AUGCUUUGUGAUGUUCUGGGGAAAGGCUUUCGACUUGUUGGCUAUGCUAUUCAGUAUGGCUAUAUUGUGCUUUUGAAUACAUUGGUGGUGUUGUUAUGUGUUCUGGACCACCAACGGAGCCUACCAUUCAAAAUUCAGAUACUGUCUUUGCAGAAAAUCUUGGUGUACAUUUGUACGGUAUUCAAAGAGGUGACAUUGUGAUUGCAAAAAGCCCAAGUGAUCCAAAAUCAAAUAUUUGUAAAAAAGUAAUUGGAAGGAGACAAAAUCCUCGCCACUAGUCCAUCAGAUUUCUUUAAAAGCCGUAGUUAUGUGCCAGUGGGUCAUGUUUGGUUAGAAGGUGAUAAUCUACAGAAUUCUACAGAUUCCAGGUACUAUGGACCUAUUCCAUAUCGACUAAUAAGAGGACGAAUCUUCUUUAAGAUUUGGCCUCUGAGUGAUUUUGAGUUUUUACGUGCCAGCUCUAAUGGCCACAGAUUUUCUGAUGAUUGGUAA
RNAcentral lists this long non-coding RNA (492 nucleotides) under Homo sapiens (human). RNAcentral describes it as "non-protein coding lnc-OAS2-1:1". Lineage: Eukaryota; Metazoa; Chordata; Mammalia; Primates; Hominidae. The record is from RNAcentral.